GGGGACGUCGUCCAAUCUGGUAGGACGGCCGCCUCCAGAGCGGCUAAUCCGGGUUCAAAUCCCGUCGUCCCCA
RNAcentral lists this transfer RNA (73 nucleotides) under Candidatus Woesearchaeota archaeon. Its description in RNAcentral is "tRNA-Trp". It matches the Rfam family "tRNA". From Rfam's summary of the family: Transfer RNA (tRNA) molecules are approximately 80 nucleotides in length. Their secondary structure includes four short double-helical elements and three loops (D, anti-codon, and T loops). The record is from RNAcentral. Lineage: Archaea; Nanobdellati; Candidatus Woesearchaeota.